RNAcentral lists this ribosomal RNA (910 nucleotides) under uncultured bacterium. Its description in RNAcentral is "bacterial SSU rRNA". It matches the Rfam family "Bacterial small subunit ribosomal RNA", at positions 33 to 934 of the family's 1533-position model. The record is from RNAcentral.
ACGCUGGCGGCAGGCUUAACACAUGCAAGUCGAACGGUAACAGGAAUUAGCUUGCUAAUUUGCUGACGAGUGGCGGACGGGCGAGUAAUGCUUGGGAAUCUGGCUUAUGGAGGGGGAUAACUACGGGAAACUGUAGCUAAUACCGCGUAAAAUCUUCGGAUUAAAGGGUGGGACUUUCGAGCCACCUGCCAUAAGAUGAGCCCAAGUGGGAUUAGGUAGUUGGUUAGGUAAAGGCUGACCAAGCCGACGAUCUCUAGCUGGUCUGAGAGGAUGACCAGCCACACUGGAACUGAGACACGGUCCAGACUCCUACGGGAGGCAGCAGUGGGGAAUAUUGCACAAUGGGGGGAACCCUGAUGCAGCCAUGCCGCGUGAAUGAAGAAGGCCUUCGGGUUGUAAAGUUCUUUCGGUGACGAGGAAGGUUGAUAGGUUAAUAGCCUAUCAAAUUGACGUUAAUCACAGAAGAAGCACCGGCUAACUCCGUGCCAGCAGCCGCGGUAAUACGGGGGGUGCGAGCGUUAAUCGGAAUAACUGGGCGUAAAGGGCACGCAGGCGGUGACUUAAGUGAGAUGUGAAAGCCCCGAGCUUAACUUGGGAAUUGCAUUUCAUACUGGGUCGCUAGAGUACUUUAGGGAGGGGUAGAAUUCCACGUGUAGCGGUGAAAUGCGUAGAGAUGUGGAGGAAUACCGAAGGCGAAGGCAGCCCCUUGGGAAUGUACUGACGCUCAUGUGCGAAAGCGUGGGGAGCAAACAGGAUUAGAUACCCUGGUAGUCCACGCUGUAAACGAUGUCGAUUUGGGGAUUGGGCUUUGAGCUUGGUGCCCGUAGCUAACGUGAUAAAUCGACCGCCUGGGGAGUACGGCCGCAAGGUUAAAACUCAAAUGAAUUGACGGGGGCCCGCACAAGCGGUG